GUGCUAGACGGGGAGGUAGCGGUGCCCUGUUACCUGCAAUCCGCUAUAGCAGGGUCGAAUUCCUAUAAUAGGCAUGCUUCUGUAAGGUCUGCCCUUUGCAAGUGGCGAUGAAAAUUGGGUCCUACGCAACGGAAGCCUAUGAACCCCGUCAGGUUCGGAAGAAAGCAGCGGUAAG
RNAcentral lists this signal recognition particle RNA (175 nucleotides) under Acetivibrio thermocellus ATCC 27405. RNAcentral describes it as "Clostridium thermocellum ATCC 27405 Bacterial large signal recognition particle RNA". It matches the Rfam family "Bacterial large signal recognition particle RNA", at positions 3 to 174 of the family's 256-position model. From Rfam's summary of the family: The signal recognition particle (SRP) is a universally conserved ribonucleoprotein involved in the co-translational targeting of proteins to membranes. Archaeal SRP consists of a 7S RNA and homologues of the eukaryotic SRP19 and SRP54 proteins. Lineage: Bacteria; Bacillati; Bacillota; Clostridia; Acetivibrionales; Acetivibrionaceae. The record is from Rfam by way of RNAcentral.